Molecule: long non-coding RNA, 283 nt
Organism: Pocillopora damicornis (cauliflower coral)
Lineage: Eukaryota; Metazoa; Cnidaria; Anthozoa; Scleractinia; Pocilloporidae
Source: RefSeq, a predicted model, not a curated record
AACCACACCACAAAAUGACUUCCAAAAAGUCAUAUGCAAGAAAUUAUGUCUAUGGGUCGGCUCUUGAGAAUCAUCUUGACCUUGAUUGCAUUUUGCUUUCCUGCUGCUCUCUGUCAGUUAAAUAACAUUAUAAAAGAUAGAAAAAACGUCAGACUCCUUCCAAUCAGCCAAGAUGGAAAGUUUAUGCGUCUUCCUCUACAGUUCCGCCUUAAAACCAAACACAGCAGGGAGCUGACGUCAAACGAUAAAAUCAGAAAAUUUCCUUCGACCAAAAAACAAGUUA